AUGGUUAAUUAUAUGUUAUACUCAUUGGUCGAUAGGACGGCCGGGCGGCUGAAUUUCAGGACUAGUUUUCGUUGCUCACUUUCACCAUCUCGUUGCAACUUCCAAGAGCCAAUGCACUGUCGAUAUAGUGCCCAUUUCACCAUCCCUAGUGUAGCUCAACAACCAUAUACGAGUACAAACAAACAUCAUGUGCAUGCCUGGUCAGUCGCACGUGGAGUGAUUUGUUCGGUCCCAGCUAACAAACCGCACCAAAUCAAACCAGGACUUUCUUCCUUCAAAAUCUUGAUGUUGUUUAUGUGGAGCCUUUUUGUUCGUGCGGUAAUGUUCUUUAAUGGGAAUAGGUGCGGGGCACGGGACCCUUUAUAUUUAUUAAUCAAAUAUCAUUUUCAGACAUGUUUUUUCUUCAAGUUCAUGAUGUGA
Molecule: ribosomal RNA, 420 nt
Filed under: Triticum aestivum (bread wheat)
Lineage: Eukaryota; Viridiplantae; Streptophyta; Magnoliopsida; Poales; Poaceae
Description: partial small subunit ribosomal RNA
Source: RNAcentral